UUUUGUCCUUUUUGAUCUUGCUUUGGUGAAGUGGGUCAGGACAGGAAUGUAGCAGCCCUAAGUUAAAGUUUGGAUGCUUAAAGGGUCGCAGAACUG
RNAcentral lists this signal recognition particle RNA (96 nucleotides) under archaeon. RNAcentral's name for it is "signal recognition particle sRNA small type". It matches the Rfam family "Bacterial small signal recognition particle RNA". Rfam says of the family: The signal recognition particle (SRP) is a universally conserved ribonucleoprotein involved in the co-translational targeting of proteins to membranes. Archaeal SRP consists of a 7S RNA and homologues of the eukaryotic SRP19 and SRP54 proteins. In most bacteria, the SRP consists of a 4.5S RNA and the Ffh protein (a homologue of the eukaryotic SRP54 protein). The record is from RNAcentral.